GCGUCUCUCCCAAAUCCGGAACAAAAAAAGUCUAGAACAAACACGGAAUCUAAGUUCUAGUUUAGAACAAAAAAAGAAAAAACCCAGUGAAUGGGCGGUGAAUAUCCACCGAGAUAGCUACGCCUCGUACGCUGGGCACUAUCCGAUGCUGGCCUACUUUGCCGUUGCUGAAAACGAAUUCAUUGGGAGAGAGCGCUACAAUUUCAUGCAGGAUCAAAGGGUCGGGAAAGGUAUUUGAGACGAUGAUGAAAGUUUUCUGAGUCUCAAGCCCGAAUAAACCUGCUCUGAUAUCAUCUUAAAGAUGGUAAUCAAGAGUUAGGCGAUUCAUAGGGCAAUUCGAAAAUAAGAGAGCUUUGGAGGAAGAUGAUUCUUGUAUAUUUUCUUGUGUGUUAUGUCUCUCGGCCACUCCCUUAUUAUAUAGGGAAGAUUACAAUGUAAACUUGGCCUUUGGUAUGUUCUUGUUUUGGUAUGUUUGACAAAGUCUUAUUCGGAACACUCCUAACUGAAAGGGUUAUCAGGAGAUGGUGCAGCUUAAUGCUUAAAAAUACUACUCGUUUAUUCAUUGAGCUCUGGAGCAAUCAGAUUUGCUUGUGUUGAACUUUUAUAUCAUCUAGCACUUCAUGUUUUCUAUGAUAUUUACAGAGAUUGUAUGUAGCUGGUUUUGUAUCAAAGUUUGUACUAAUAUUUUGUGAAUUCCCAACUUGUGUACAGAAAAUGCUUUUGCCAUGUGCUCUGUAAAUGUUACUGUUGCUGCGAGGAAAAUGCGAUCUCAAGGAUUAAAACUUCUCGUCCUAGAGAAACGGAUGAUGUUGGAAUGCUUGGAUAUUGUGUGAUGAAUGCAGCUUGAAGGCAACGGGGUGAGGAGCAGAAGAUCUUCGCAGAGGGAUCAUUGUUAAUAAUCUUGUUCGAUUUCACCAUUUCAAGAAUGGCCACAAGUCUUGUGUUUCGCAGUCCGAGCAAGGCAUGUUGAAUCACCAUGGUGAAUUUUGCAGCUCAUUUCUACUUGAUAAGUAAAUGAACUAGUCUCAAUGUGAGAUGUUUUACAACCAUACAAAUGUUAUGCAGCAUCUGAAAACAAACAAGUCUUAAAUUUUAACUACUAUUUCUCUGAUAAUCUUAUGGCAUCCAUAUGGUGACAAUAAAGGGCAUGGCCAGCAAAAAAAAAAUUCUUUUA
Long non-coding RNA from Salvia splendens (bonfire salvia), 1174 nucleotides. RefSeq lists it as uncharacterized. The record is from RefSeq and is a predicted model, not a curated record. The transcript is spliced from 4 exons. Lineage: Eukaryota; Viridiplantae; Streptophyta; Magnoliopsida; Lamiales; Lamiaceae.